UGCGGAGUGGGACAAGUUCAGCCAUAUCCCGCAUGUCGAGGCUUAUGCAAAUGGCGAAGGCACUGAAAAGAGAUGGCACCUAUUUUACACAAGAGAGCCCUACAAAAUGGAGACAGAUGUGGAGGCAACUCGGCAGGUAUAAUAUCUAGUUCGAUUGCUCUAUCCAAUAUAAGUACCCUGCUCUUGUUGCUUCCAUCUUUGGGUUCUUCGUUUUUAUGCUAGAGCUAGUUGAAAAUAUGUUCCUGUGUUCAGUUUCGCUUGGCGGGGUUAAUCUGAGGAGGAACAUGAAGACGACACAGAAGACGCAAAUGAAGAUGAGAAAAGGGACGACGAUGAAGAGGACGGAGGUGACGAAAGCUGAAGCUGAGGACGGAGAUUUAUGUGUUGCCAGGAUAUGCAUGUCUCCACUUGCUGCCACUGCUGCUCUACUAGAUUUUCUCUGUGUUGAGCCUGUAUGGGUAUCUCCGUCGUGAAUUGUGAUUUUUACAUUUGUCAAAAGAGUGUAGUUUUAACCAGUAGUUAAGGGCCAAAAGUGUACAACUAUCAUUCAGAAUGCAUUCAACAAUCCAGUGUGUUGUUGGCUUCUCUGUUUCCCUGUAAGUGAGAUUUUCUUUUCUUUCUUUCUUCCCCUUUACAUAAUUUAUAUGCCCGUAUCUGCAGGCAGCUUCAUCAACCUCCUCUCUAGAUGGUUCACAUCAAGUGCAACCCCACGGAUUCUACAAAAUCUUGUAAGAAAGGUAAUUAGCUUCAACUCCUAAAGUUUUGAUUUGGAAAUGAAGCCAAAAGUAUGGUGGUGGUCCCUUUUCAGCUUGAUAUCUUGGUACCAAAUUGCAACACACAUCAAUACAUGACUUCCACUCAAGGACAUGCAGUCAUUUAUUAUCGG
Molecule: long non-coding RNA, 886 nt
Filed under: Triticum aestivum (bread wheat)
Lineage: Eukaryota; Viridiplantae; Streptophyta; Magnoliopsida; Poales; Poaceae
Description: long non-coding RNA (TAES_LNC008396)
Source: RNAcentral